This is a long non-coding RNA of Helianthus annuus (common sunflower), 1793 nucleotides long. RefSeq lists it as uncharacterized. The record is from RefSeq and is a predicted model, not a curated record. The transcript has 2 exons. Lineage: Eukaryota; Viridiplantae; Streptophyta; Magnoliopsida; Asterales; Asteraceae.
GAUUAAUCUGAUUAAUCUGAACCCUCAAAAACCCCCCACCCCCUUUAAAAUCAAGGGUGUAUACCUGAACCCCCCUUUCUCUCUCUGGACUUUUGGCUCCAUCAAAUUGAGAUUCAGGUUUUGAAUUUUGAAUUUUGAAAAGGGUUUGAGCUCCACAAAUCUCAAAUCUGAGACAAGGCUCUCUUCCACCACCACUCCAUCCUCUUUCUACAGCAACGGUUCUUCUGCGUCAAGAAGUAGCAAUGGUGGCUAUGGUUCAAGUGGUGGUAGCAUGCGUUGCUUGGGUUCUAACAGCAUUAAGUAUUCCGCCAACCACCAGUGAAAACGAGCGCCAUAAACAGAUUCCACUAGGUUUUCGACGAGAUUUCUGGUAUGUGUACAUUGUUAAUGGACAAAUCUGUUUGUUUUUUUGUGUGUGUAUAUGUUUCUAUAAUGCAAUUAGUGAACAAACAGAUGGUGGUUACAAUUUGCAACUACACUUUCUUCAACUCUUCAGUUUCUCUUCUACUCAGACCCCACCUCCUUACUCUUCAAAGCCCUAAAUCGUCUAUCAAAUUUUUGAAUCUACAAGUUAAUUUGAUGAUAUAGUGAAUGUUCAAGUUACAGAUGUAAUUGAAGAUCUAUCAAGGCCUAAUUUGAAGAGAGAGUCUGGAUGCAGAGAUAUUUGACUACCGUUGGUUCCUGAUAAAGCAAGGGGCUAAAGCUAUGAAUUAAUCUGUUUUUGUACUUUAUUCUUUAUUGUUGUUGGGAGUAUGGAGUUUACGGGUUGAGAUUAAAAUUUGAAGCGCAGGUUUUGGCAUUCUGAUCCAAAAUUACUUUGAUUCUUAUACUGGUACAUGUAACUAAGCUUGAGACACUUGUAUGUUAUUUGCUAAACUGCUGAUGCUUGAUUGAUGUAUUUUAUAGAGUUUUUGAGUCAACAUUUGCUAGAAGAAAGUCUAUUCUAAAGGAAUGGUUCUCAAAGAAGUACAAGCAGCUCACACUCAAGUGAUUAAUCAUCAUAGUUUGGUUAUGAUGUUUGUUGUUUUUUUUUUCUACUAGCAGUAGACCCUAGACCACAUACCAUAAACGUCAUAGUGGUAGCAACCAGCUGGUACAUCAAUCUUUAUUCAAUCUACUUUUACACUUAUUAUCUAAUUAGAAAAUUAUAUAUAUUGACAGUGUAAUACGUAGAAGACACUUUUAUCUUAUUGUAUGUCUCUUUUGCUAUAUAUUCAAGGUCACCUAAGACCUGCUAAUGCAUACAUUUUUCUAAAAGGAAACGCCUCAAAUUGGCUUGGUUAACCUACUUGAUGAUUGUGUUGUGCGUGUAUGUGCGUAGAUGUAUGCAAUGUGUGUGCCAGUUACGUUUGGGUUUUUCAAAAUCACAUGUGAAGCAGUAACGAGCAGACUGUUACAUCUCUUCCACAUGUGGUAGAAAAGAUUCUUGCUGGAACCAUAAGGCGAGAGGCUUUUGUUACUAGAUCGUUUCUUCUCUCUGCAUGAUUCCUCCUGCCUUCUUCAACUUGUGAAGUUCUAUUUGAACAUGUGGUUGCUGGCCAGAUUGGUGUAAUAAGAUUACUGAGAUAUUUUGGCAGAGCAAAAUUUCAGCGACCUAAACUAGGGUGCCGGUGAGGUUCCGAUCAAAUUCCGCUAAGUCCUAUUUCUUAUGCAUAUCUCAUUUACUUUGAUGUGGAUGUUAUUUCGAAGCAAUUUGUUGUCAUCGUUUGAAACACAUAGGAUAUUGCUAUGUGUUUCUUUGUACCACAAUUACAAGUAGAUGGUGAUAUGGUGAAGAUAUCAUAUUUUUACUA